CCUGAUCAGCCACUGUUCCAAGAAAGACUUUGAGAAAUAACACUGCACCUUUAAUGCACAGCUAGCCGUAGACUAUCCCUUACAUAUAUUCUACAUAAUUAGCAUUUUACUUCUUAUUUACAGUUGAAAGUAAUAAGAAUGACCACAUCAGAGUCAUGUGCAGUUCCCGUGCUGGACCUGGACCUUUGCUGUGGGUCCAAAACAUUAAGCCUCACCCUUUGGCGUGACGAGGCCCUGGUGCCAUUAGGCAUUGAGGACGAAGUUGUCUUCACCUACCUUAGACCAUCAAGUGCCCAAAUGAAGCUGAACUCAUCAGCAUACACCACAAUCAUGGUACCGUAACUCUCAACAACACUUUAAGUAGGAAUGAUCUGUAUGAAAGUUUUCAUAAAAACUCGCACACACACACACUCACACAGUGAGAUGCCUGAAUGCUAGAUAUGUGUUACAAUAUGUACCAGGCAGAGACAGAAGAUAACAGUAAAGGUAGUUUAUUGGACACAAGCAGAGGUUAUUGUGACAACAGGUGAGUAGAUAGUGGUUGUAGAGGUGAAUGAUGAAUGAAUCGGUGAUAAUACUGUCCUUUGUGGUUGGCAGCGGUGGCAGACUGGAGACAAUGCUGGUGGAUGACACUCACACACAGACUUGGAGCACACGGGAAAGCACGGAGACACAGGAGACAGGUAAGUAGCAAUGGGAGUCCUUGAGGUAAGCAUAGAGGUAAGUUCCUUGAUGCGAACGAGACCGGACAAUGUGACUGAGUGUGUGAGUGUCUUAAAUGGUGCUCGUAAUGAGUGUGCUGAUGAGAUGCAGGUGGCGGUGAUUAGUACUCAGGGGAAGGUGUGCGUUGUGAUUGGUGGGUGCUGGAGCCUGGCGUGUCUGUGACAGUAAUUUUUAUGUUUAAUAAAGAUACAUUGUUCUACAAUUCACAUUGUAGAGAAAGUGGUAAAAAGUUUAAAUUAUAUUAAUAUCAAAGGGUUAACUUACAAGAUGAAGGGGGAAAGAAAGAAGAAAAAAACAACUUUGAUCUGUAUCCUUCACCAAAACAUGUUUUAUAUAAGCAGACAGGAUAUGACUGCUCAGUGCGGUCACAGUGGUGUAGUUAACGUUCAGCUUCUAAAAGCAUCAGUACACAGCAGCGUCCACACGAGCAACUUACACAAUGGACUCCAAAAGACCGAAAAUCUACAAGAGGACUCACGGCAAUAGUAGCACUGAGAUACAAGAAGUGGACAGAGAAGAUGGUGAGGAGAUGAUCACUGAUGCCAACAGAGACACAAAGAAUCGUCAUGACGUCAGGACAGAAACGGAGAACUCAGACACCGCCAUAUAUCAAACACUUCAACACUCGGGAAGUGUUUGUGUGAGGAUCAGAAGCUCCAGAGCAGCUCAAGUGUGUUUGGUGCUGCUGUGUGUUCUUCUGCUGACUGCAGUCAUAGUGCUGGCCAUCAAACUCACUAAAACAGUUGAUGAGUUUUACAUCAAGUACAAAAACAUCACAGAAGAGAUAAAGGAGUUAGAAAACAGAAAAUCAAUCUUGAAACAGAAUAUUACAAAUUUAUCAAAUUAUAAUAAAACCCUGAAUACAGAAAAAUUGACAUUACAGAAGGAGAUGGAAGAACUGAGGCAACAGAUACAUAAAAUGGAUGGAUGGAGUUGCUAUCAAUCUAGUCUUUACUUCAUCUCCUCUGAAAAGAAGAGCUGGAUUGAGAGUAGGCGAUACUGUACAGAGAGAGGAGCAGAUCUGAUCAUCAUAAACAACAAAGAGGAACAAGUAAGUGAGAGAGAAUGUUUGUUUGUGACCAUACCUAAGUUUGGAGCGACAUUCACACUGAGGAUGCUCAAUUCCGAUUUAUGGCUCAGAUCCAAUGUUUUUGUAGAGCUGUUCACAUUGUUGUUUUAAAUGUGGCCAAUAUCAGAUUCCAGUGUGAACAGAUAAUGGUCCUGGACUGACCCGCAUGCGCAAAAGAAUGAUAAAAAAAGAUCACGCAGCACGCUGUCAUACGGAAGUAAACAUGGAGAACAUUAAAGUAAGUGAUUACACAUUUAUUUAUAAAUAGUGUGAUUAUAGUGUGCUAUAGUGUGAUUUAUUUAUCUGCUGCCGAAGCCAGUAAAUUUAUGCACAAUCAAUAAAAAAAAAAAAAAAGGAUGCAAUAAAAGAGAUAAAAGGGAAAUUUAUGGUAGGAGCCGUCGUGUUUUGCGAGUUCUGACACAUCAUUGUCCUUCCACGUCAUGUAUGUAAAACCCUUUGAAAGGGACUCCCAUGAGUGCUGAAUUGUGACGAAUGUUGCUCUAGAGUGAUGUAAAAGUCGCAUGAAUACAUUACAUUUGCCUGCAGUCUGAACAUAACCAAAGUCUGACAACACCUUCCUUUGUGGACAUUCUGAGCAGAGUAUGUGAGCGACGUGAAAUUUGUCUGAACUGUACGUCUUUGUUUGCAAUAAAUUUCUUGAAUGAAUGUAUUAAUUAUUCAGCCUACGUAGAUAACAGUUAUGCUAUUUGUUGCUUUAAGUAUGUUUCUUCAUUCAUUAGGAGUAUUUAAAAAGAGUUCCAGGUGGCACUGAUGUCUGGAUUGGUCUGACUGACAGUGAUGUGGAGAACACAUGGAAAUGGGUUGAUGGCACCAACAUGACCUCUGGGUUCUGGAGGGAUGGAGAACCAAGUGGUAGCGCUGGUGAUAAGGAUUGUGCCAUAAAUCUGCCAUCAGGGUUUGCUGAUUAUUCAUGUAAUAAAACGUUUAAAUGGAUCUGUGAGAAGAACACAUUUCAAUUUACAUUGCUAUAAAGGGUUGUAACAACAUUUGUCUCAUUUCGCUUUUUGCUCUGAAACAUAGUUCUGCAAGUUUCCAUGUAAUAAAUCAUCAUUAAAACACUGAGUAAAUUUAUUUAUGAUUCUAUUAUAUUUUGUUAGUGAUACAUGUGUGCAGCUCCUCAUCCACCAUAUUCACAGUGAAAGCUGAAGUGUCAAAAAUACUAACAUUAUUGAAUGUGUUUCAAUAGAUUAACUCAACAAAUGAAGUGAGAUUGGGGUGUGGCUAUUUUUUUUCUUCUUCUUUACUUAAAUUCUAUAUAGUGAGGCUAGUAAUGCAGAAACUUCACACUUCAAGAGGAAAAUAAUCAACUUCAAUCACUUACAAGAAGAUAUGACUGCUCAGUGCGGUCACAGUGGUGUAGUUAAAGUUGAACUCUAAAAGCAUCAGUACACAGCUGUGUUUUCCACACACAAGCAACUUACAAAAUCUGACUCUAAACGACUGAAAAUGUGCAAGAGGAUCAGCACAGGAAUUGAUUCUGUGAGGAACAGAAGAUACAAAAGAGCUACAGUGUGUUUGGUGCUGCAGUGUGUUCUUCUGGUUGAGGCGAUCAUAUUGCUGGGUCUCGAACUCAGAACAAAGACUGAUGAGUAUGAAAACAGUGAGGACAAAUACAACCAACAAAGGAACAAGCUACUUGAUGAGAUCCAAGGCUUGUUAAAAAAGAAAGAUAAAUUGGAGAAUGACAUUAGCAACAUGACUAAUCAAAAUAACCAGUUAAAUGAGGAGAAAAAACAACUGUUAAUACAAUUUUUGGAUGGAUGGAAGUGCUAUCAAUCCAAUUUAUACUACAUUUCCUCUGACACGAAGAACUGGGCUGAUAGUAGAGAAGACUGUUCGAAAAGAGGAGCAGAUCUGAUCAUCAUAAACAACAGAGAGGAACAAGAGUCUUUUAAAACUGAUGCUGAAUUCUGGAUUGGUCUAAAGGACAGUGAUGUGGAGGGCGCAUGGAAAUGGGUUGAUGGCAGCACACUGACCUCUGGGUUCUGGGCAUCUGGAGAGCCCAACAUGGGCAAAGAGGAAAACUGUGCUGUGCUGUAUUCACAAAGGUGGUAUGAUCAUCCAUGUAAUAAUGUUUUUAAACGGAUAUGUGAGAGGAAAGCAUCUUAAAAUAAAAUCUGUAAUGUCAUCACUAAUAGGAAGCAAAAUAGCUGUACUUGUAUUUGCAAAAAAAUAUAGUUUUUUUGUAAGCUACAAGUCCUGUAAUAAAUUAUCUUCAUUAUUAAAUUUAGCAAUUUUUUUUUUUUCUGUUAUAUUUUAUUGUUUCAUGUGUGCAGCUUCUCUGUGGUUUUCUGUUGUUUUAAUAUGUAUAGGCUAGAAGCCUUACUCAACUUUCAUAAUAAACCUAAUAAUGAGAUCAAGAGUCUGCAGCCUCACACUAGGAACAACAGACUGGCUAAUGGCUAAUAUUCACUUCCUAGACAAAAAGCAUUUCCUGUGACGUUGUUUGAGGACAAAGUGGAAAUUUAGGGAAUGUUCAGUCUUUAUUUCCACAGAGGCAUGACCUGAAACCAGUUUAUAUCUCUUGGUAAUGCUAAUAUUGCACUUAGUGCGCUUUACAACAGCAUCACUCUGCUUUUAGGCUAACUGAUGCCCACCUGACAUGAGCAUGUAAAUAUGCUGUGACAUAGUAAAGACAUCUUAUGUGAGAAAAUAUCUCUUAGCGACAGAAACCAGUUAUUAGUUUCACUUCCUCUAAAGUAUUUUUAGCACAGCAGGUUAAAGGUUUCACUUUAAGAUGUACUUUUUUUCUUUUGAAUUCAAAUGUUUUACCACUAAAAAUAUUAAUAGUGCUUUUGAGAUAUGUUUCAAAUAAUGUACAUUCAUGCAAGACUGCAGUCAUAUAAGUUUCUCAAUCAAGUAGCACAAAAUGUCUGGCUAACGUAUAAAGACAAAUUUGUUGACACCGCUAAAGCUCACAAGAUGAUGACAUUGUGAAAUUCAUGUUAAUUUUUUCAGUUCAACUUCACAGUCUUUGCUAAGUUGUUAAAAUAAUUUGUUAUAUAUAUAUAUAUAUAUAUAUAUAUAUAUAUAUAUAUAUAUAUAUAUACACACACACUAAUUAAAAGAUUAGAAAUUAAAUGUGUUGUUUGUUUGUACUUUCGUACAACUGUUGAUCUGCAAUUGGUUAUUAAAAAAGAGAGCAUUCAAAUGGAGAAUAUUUAAAUCAUUGCUAUUUAAUGGAUUCGUUACAAGACUUGAUCAGUUCUAGUUUCCUACAAAUAAAAUAUGGCCACAAAGUUACUCUGAAACGCUGAAAGAUAUUUUGACCAUAGUGGUUUCGAGUCUCGACAGCAUAAGAGUAGAAGCAGAAGCUCAGAGCAGUACAGUCCCAGAACAGACUCAGAACAACAUUCACCAUCUGAAUGAUUUCAAGAGACUGAUAAUGUCUGACAGUACUUACAACAGUAGAACUAUUACUAAGAUACAGGAGAGGAACAGAGGAGGUGGAGAGGAGAUAAUUAAGCCAGUACAUGAUAUUUUGAUUGACUUUAGCUCCAGCAUUUGAUCAUUGCUUAACUGACUAUUGACAGAAGAAAACAUGUGUACCAGAGAGGGAGAAGCUGUCGCCCCGUUGCUCCACUGAUUAUUUCCCUUAAUUACAGAUACAGUGCUGAAUCUCAUCAAGUGGUCGUGUGGUCCUUGUGUGUGUGAGAGAGAGUGACCGGUCCAGACACGCUACACCUGCAUCAGUUGGGUCACAGGCCUUCUCCAUGGCUUGAAUGAGGCAUAUCCUGAUAUAGGGCUGGAGAUCAGAAAUCUUUCACCGCCAUGCCAAAAAAAAACCCCUCCUCAAUAGGUUUAAGGAAGGGACAGUAUGGUGGGAGUAUUGGAGUGAAAAUUGUGGAUGCUCAUGAAACCAGUUUUGGGCCAGAGCAGAUCAGUGGAAAGAUAUAUUGUCCCAGAUGACAAUGUGUCUCAUCUGCUUUGCUCCAGCUGGUCUUCUGCUGUGAUGAUGUUGUGUAGUCUGUCUAAAAUGUGAAUAUGUGGUCGUGUUGUAAGGACCUUGGCAUGCCGGUGGAGGACCCCAUUCUGUGAUUGCAGCACACAUUGUGAUUGUUACCUCCACGCUGGCCUAGGACAUUCAAAAUAGCUCUGUGGACAGUGAUGUUUCUCCCUCUUCCUCUUUCAUUGCCUUCCUUUUUGUUGAAGACAGGUAAACUCACCUGUUGCCUUUUUAUAGUGCUCACACCUGAUUGAGUUUACAGUGAAGCACAUAAGUGUCUGCAGACCUGACGGCCAUGUUUGAUCAAUUGGUUUAUAGGGGUGGUAUUUUGGAAAGCAGUGUCUUGAAAUGGCAAGGAAGUGACAUCAUGUUAGAUUUCUGUGUCUAAUGUAGAGAAAUGUGUUUAGUGUUUUGCAGAAAGUGUGAGGCUGAGAAUGUGCUUAUAGUUGUGCAGAUCUGGGCUGCCCAUAGGAAAAAAAAUGUACUGCUCAGUGGUUGUGAUUCUCAUAUAUCCCUCCUUUUAUAGUUUUUUUUCAACUGCUUACACACAUUUUCAAAACUUUCUCUUUUUUUCAAAACUUUACGCACAAAUCCAAGAAUUGCACACAAAAAAUGCAAAAUUCUUCACAUCUCUUGCAAAAUGAAGCACUGCAUUCAAAAUAUCACAAACACCUCUCAAAAGCAAACAUUUGUCUUACUUUUCAAACACAUUUGCCAUAAUAUUCUAUUUUUGGAUAUAUCAUAUACACACAGUUAUUCAAAACCUAAAGCUCUUCUUUCAUAAGCUGCUAUGUCCAUUUCUGUACAAGACUGAAAGUAAUUGACAGAGAGAUGUUGAAAAAUUCAUGGUAAACAUGAAAGCAAGAUUGAAACCAAACUUUUUUUUUUUUUACUGUAAGCAUUUGUGGUUGUGAAUACAGUAUUGCACAGUACGAAACAAAAUAAAUACAUCAACCAUGUGUAGUUGGACAGGAAAAGAAAAGGAAAAAAAACUAGCAUAAUUUUGAAAAAGGUGAAUAUUCCAAAGGAAUGGUGUGUAUGUGUGUCCUGGUAGGGGACCAAAUGUCCUCACAAGUAUAUACCAGUACAUUUUGACUGCGGGGACAUUUUUUACAGUAAGUCCCCAUGAGGAAACAAGUAAUAUGUAAAUCAUACAGAAUGAUGUUUUCUGAAAAUCUAAAAUAGCAGAAUGUUUUCUGUCAUGGGUAGGUCUAGUGGUAAGGUUAGUGUAGGGGGACAGAAUAUACAGUUUGUACAGUAAAAAACCAUUACGCCUAUGGAAUGUCCUGAUAAAACAUGGAAACCCAAUAUGUGUUUGUUGUGGGUGUGUUUGUUGGUGGGCGAGAUGGGUAUCUAGGCUUCAUCUCUCCUCCUGGCUUGGUCUGGCCACAAUACUUCAUCCACGUCACAUGCUAUGUUCUCUCUUGCGUAUCCAACCUUGGAUGGAGGCAGCGUCAGUGUCUCCACAUGCCUCCUCCAUUCCCUGGAGAAGUGUUAUGUUGACAUAGGGACCACGAUCAUGCACUUUCCAGCACCAUGUGGAGGAAAAAUCCUCAAUAGGGUUUAAAAAUGAUGAAUAUGGAAGCAAGUAAACAACAGAAAAGUUGUUCAAAACCUAUAACUUAUUUAUAUACAAGUUUAUAUUUAUAGGCCUAUUCUAAAGCCAUGAUUGGUUGGUGUUAAGUAAAGCAGUGAGUGUUUGCACAUGUGAGGAGUUAGUGUGAGGCACUGAUGAAUUAGUGUGGCAUUUUGAUUGGUUGUGUUUGUGUGUCAGGUUUCAGAAAUUGUGUGACAAGUACGGAUUUUGUGUGUAAGCAGUUGGAAAAAAAACUGUAGUAUCAACAGAGUUUUAGAUGUUUCUCCUAAAAUUCCUUAGGAGAAAUAAGAGUAGACAGAAAUGAGACAUGAGAAAUAUCUGAGAGGAAAGGAGUUAAAACUGAGAAUGUGGUGGAAGAAAAUAGAACAUCUCAUUAUUGUCAUUCUGUAGUCUCUUUCAAGACUCCAUUAUAGGAAUAUUUUAUUGCUCAGAGUUUGCUCUUUAUAAGCUCAUGAGACUUAGUUGUGAUUCUCAAAUAUCUCUCAUUGUAGUAUCAACACUGUCUCAGAUGUUUCUCCUAAAAUGCCUUAAGAGAAAUAGAAGUAGACACAACUGAGACAUGAGAAAGUUCUGAGAGAAAGGAGUCCAAAAUGAGAAACAAGAAAUCUCUUUAUUGUAAAAAUAUUUUCAGAAGGUUUUUUUUUUUUUUUUUUUUUUUUUUUUUUUAAUCUUUAAUGGACAGGACAGUAGGAUGAGAGACAGGAAACUAUGGGAGAGGAGAGAAGGGAACAGGAGCAGGAAAGUACCUUUAGCUGGGAUUCGAACUCGUGCUGUCUGAGGAGCUGCUAUGUCUUAAUGUUGAUGUGCUGUCCACAAGGCUAUGCUUCUGACAGAGCUUUCUCUAAGCUCGGGAUACCAAGAGCUGAUUAUUCUCUUACAUGUCUCAUUUAGGUAUCAGCUUUGUCUUUUGGUGCCAGCUGCAUAAACUUAGCAUAGUUGCAUAUUAACUUAAGAACUAGUUUGACUAAGUAGCAGUUAACCAAAGGGCAGUCAGUCUUACUUUCCUGAUUCAAAUUAAACAGAUAUACCUUUUUAUGCAGCUGACUUUAAAAUGUUAUUACCAGGCUUGAAGUAAAAAAAAAAAAAAAAAAAUUAGAUGACUAACUUUUAAGACUAUUCUAAGAAGUUUUUGCAACUUUUAUUUUAGAUGAAACAUGUUAAAUUUUAAAUUUACUAAUAUUGUAAAUACUGAAACUAUUAUUUAAGUAGCAUUGUACAUUUCAGAAUAUGAAUAUAAAGGGAUACUCAUUUAAAUGUAUCUUCAAUGCCCAGCAUUGUAUAUGCAGCCAGCGCAUAUUCCAAACAAGGGAUUAGACAAGUUUGAGAUGUUUAGCCUAUGAUAGAUACUUUCUUUUUAACAAAUUUAAUAGUGUACCAGUGCCUCAUGGUUGUUGCAUAACCUUUUUUUUCCUUUUUCUUUUCUUCAUUUAACAUUGUAAAGUUUGUCUUGUACAACCCAUUUUGCAUGCAUGCAUAUAUAGGUCAUGUUUUCCUCUGUUAAGUAAUUGUGCAACAAAACUCUGUCUACACCAGUGGUUCCCAACCUUUUUUACACCAAGGCCCGCCUCCUCUCCGAAUCAACACUGCGAGGCCCACCCACCCCUCAGCCCCUCUCUUAGAAGAGAUCUCCGUAACAUCACACACUGUGCUCAGACUUUUCUCCUCAGCUAGAGACUCGGGAGCUCUCACAUGUGUCUCCUCUUAACGGGCGGAUCUAGAAAAUUAUUUAUAGGGUGGCAUGAGGUCUAUGAGGGGUGGCAACACCAAAGCAAGCGCCCAUGCAUAGUUUUUGAAGAUUUAUGGCCUGACAUACACAAUUGUGUUCACAAAUAUUGCAUUACCACAAAAUAAUCAUCUAUACAGUUUAAAAUUAAAAAGUAAAUAACCAGAUUUCAAUAUUCCUCAUGGCACCAAGUUAAGACACUAAAUGAAAAACAUCAACAGAUUAUUAUUUUGAGCUUGUAUCACUUAAGGAGAUGACUGUUUUAUUAAUAUUACAUAGGCUACUUCGAUGGUAUAAAUCACAUUUUAGUGCAAGUUAAAGAGCAUAACUUGAAUUUCCACAGUUUUGCAAACAAUUUUUGAGUUUCUGUUAUUAAAGGAUUCGUUCACUUUCAAAUGAAAAUUAGCCCAAUCUUUACUCACUCUCAAGCUAUCCUAGGUGUAUAUGACUUUCUUCCUUCUGAUGAACACAAUCGGAGAUAUUUGAAUAUCCUGACGCAUCUGAGCUUUAUAAUGGCAGUGAACAGGGGUCACGAGUAUGAGCUGAAGAAAGUGCUUCCAUAUUAAUAUACCGCCUUCUCUAUUCAAUGUAGGAAGAAAGUGUCUUGCAGUUCCAAAGCUUACGCUACGCCUUCCCUAAUCAACUUACGGAAACUUGAAUACGGAAGGCGGUCUGGCGGAAGCUAGAUAUUUUACUUCAUAACUUGUUAAAAUAUGGAUUUUUUUUUUUUUUUUUUUUUUUUUUUUAUACACAAAAGCAUCGCUUCUCUUCAGAAGUCCUUUAUUAACCCCCCAGAGCCGUGUGGAAUAUGUUUAUGAUGGAUGUGGAUGGAAGCACUUUAUUCAUCUCAUACUCGAGACCCCUGUUCACUGCCAUUAUAAAGCUUGGGUGCGUCAGGAGGAUAUUUAUUAAUAUAACUCCGACUGUGUUCAUCAGAAAGAAGAAAAACCUAGGAUGGCUUGAGGGUGAGUAAAGUUUGGAGUAAUUUUCAUUUGAAAGUGAACUAAUCCUUUAACAGUGAUGGGAAUGUCUGUGUGUGUUCACCCAGAACACCCUAUCAACCACAUACUCUCACACACACCCUAUCAACCACAUACUCUCACACACACCCUAUCAACCACAUACUCUAGCAACAUCUAUCUAUUCUGGCCUAACUGACCAAACUAUUUAAAACAAGAUUUUAAAUGGGCUUUACGACAAGCCAGCAUAAGCCAGCAUUUGUCUUUCAAAUUUUCAACCUAGUUAUUGUUUUUCUUGAUUGCUAAUACACAAUUCCUAACACCAUUCAACAUUUUCUCAAAACUAUAAACACAAUCUCAAAACUAUACAUCAACUUGCACAUACCUCAAACUUCCAGGUCAAAAUAAAAUGUUCUAGUCGAAAGUGUAUUCUUUUCUGACAAAAUCAAAUGCACCACAAUACAGUAGCCUUUACUGUCAAUUACAGUACAGUAAAAAAAAAAAAAGUAAAUUCAGCAUCCUCUGCAAAUUUGGACAAAUUUCAUUACAGUAUAUACAGUACUAUAGCAGUGUAUUGGUCUUCUGACACAAGACUAUCCCUAGGCAGUCAUUUCUCAGUUCUGCAAAAAUACAGUACACAUUAAAAAUGGCUACAAAGAAAGCUGACAAUCACAAGUUUGAGGGUGUUACAACAUGUGCUCCAGUUUACUGUACAUAGAAUAGUGAAAUUUCCCUCAUCUAAAGUACUGGUACUGUGUACUGUAAUUAUAACAUGUGUAGGCUAAGUUUAAAACACUCGUAAAUAAUUCUUUCAGCUCUCUCUCAGACUUUGACUGGUGUGUCAUGUUGUCAUUUUAAACGUUUUGAGAAAUGUGUCUUUGUUUUGAGAACUGAUGGUUUGGGAAACUGGGCCAACUGAAUCACUAA
This is a long non-coding RNA of Ctenopharyngodon idella (grass carp), 10965 nucleotides long. RefSeq lists it as uncharacterized. Lineage: Eukaryota; Metazoa; Chordata; Actinopteri; Cypriniformes; Xenocyprididae. The transcript has 11 exons. The record is from RefSeq and is a predicted model, not a curated record.